Molecule: ribosomal RNA, 588 nt
Filed under: uncultured bacterium
Lineage: Bacteria
Description: partial 16S ribosomal RNA
Rfam family: Bacterial small subunit ribosomal RNA
Source: RNAcentral
UGGGGAAUAUUGCACAAUGGGCGCAAGCCUGAUGCAGCCAUGCCGCGUGUGUGAAGAAGGCCUUCGGGUUGUAAAGCACUUUCAGCGAGGAGGAAGGUGGUGAGCUUAAUACGCUCAUCAAUUGACGUUACUCGCAGAAGAAGCACCGGCUAACUCCGUGCCAGCAGCCGCGGUAAUACGGAGGGUGCAAGCGUUAAUCGGAAUUACUGGGCGUAAAGCGCACGCAGGCGGUUUGUUAAGUCAGAUGUGAAAUCCCCGGGCUCAACCUGGGAACUGCAUUUGAAACUGGCAAGCUAGAGUCUCGUAGAGGGGGGUAGAAUUCCAGGUGUAGCGGUGAAAUGCGUAGAGAUCUGGAGGAAUACCGGUGGCGAAGGCGGCCCCCUGGACGAAGACUGACGCUCAGGUGCGAAAGCGUGGGGCAGCAAACAGGAUUAGAUACCCUGGUAGUCCAGCGCUGUAAACGAUGUCGAUUUUGGAGGUUGUGCCCUUGAGGCGUGGCUUCCGGAGCUAACGCGUUAAAUCGACCGCCUGGGGAGUACGGCCGCAAGGUUAAAACUCAAAUGAAUUGACGGGGUCAUAGCUGUUCCU